Molecule: transfer RNA, 73 nt
Filed under: Anguilla anguilla (European eel)
Lineage: Eukaryota; Metazoa; Chordata; Actinopteri; Anguilliformes; Anguillidae
Description: tRNA-OTHER
Source: RNAcentral
GUCUGUGUAGUGUAAUGGGCAAGGAUCUGGGCUUGCAACCUAAAGGUCACAGGUUCAAUUCCCGGGUAGGACG